CUUUCCUGCAAUAUCUUCAGGGAAGAGGAUGCUGACCUCGAUGUAGCCAAGAUCCACAGAUGACGCAAUCUCAAUCGCACUUCACACUGCCCUUUCCCACCUGGUCGAAAGGAACACCUAUGUGAGAAUGCUGUUCAUUGACUACAGCUCAGCGUUCAACACCAUAGUGCCCACAAAGCUCAUCACUAAGCUAAGGACCCUGGGACUAAACACCUCCCUCUGCAACUGGAUCCUGGACUUCCUGUCGGGCCGCCACCAGGUGGUAAGGGUAGGCAACAACACAUAUGGCAUGCUGAUCCUCAACACUGGGGCCCCUCAGGGGUGUGUACUAAGUCCCCUCCUGUUCUCCCUGUUCACCCACGUCUGCGUGGCCAAACAUGACUCCAUCACCAUCAUUAAGUUUGCUGAUGACAACAGUGGUAGGCCUGAUCACCGACAAUGAUGAGACAGCCUAUAGGGAGGAGAUCAGAGAAUUAGCAGUAUGGUGCCAAGACAACAACCUAUUCCUCAAUGUGAGCAAGACAAAGGAGCUAAUUGUGGACUACAGGAAAAGGCGGGCCGAACAGGCCCCCAUUAACAUCGACGGGGCUGUAGUGGAAUGGGUCGAGAGGUUCAAGUUCCUUGGUGUCCACAUCACCAACGAACUAUCAUGGUCCAAACACACCAAGACAGUCAUGAAGAGGCCAUGACAAAACCUAUUCCCCCUCAGGAGACUGAAAAGAUUUGGCAUGGGUCCUCAGAUCCUCAAAAGAUUUUACAGCUACACCAUCGAGGUCACCCUGACCGGUUGCAUCACUGCCUGGCAUGGCCCAAUACAUCACUGGGGCCAAGCUUCCUGCCAUCCAGGACCUAUAUAACAGGCGGUGUCAGAGGAAAGCCCAUAAAAUUGUCAUGUACUCCAGUCACCCAAGUCAUAGACUGUUCUCUCUGCUACCAAACGGCACUGGAGCGCCAAGUCUAGGACCAAAAGGCUCCUUAACAGCUUCUACCCCCAAGCCAUAAGACUGCUGUACAAUUAAUCAAAUGGCCACCGGACUAUUUACAUUGACUAUCUACAUGUACAAAUUAUCUCAACUAACCUGUACCCCCACCCACUGACUCGGUACCUGUACCCCCUGUAUAUAGCC
RNAcentral lists this long non-coding RNA (1127 nucleotides) under Salmo salar (Atlantic salmon). RNAcentral's name for it is "lncRNA (ENSSSAG00000088246.1)". Lineage: Eukaryota; Metazoa; Chordata; Actinopteri; Salmoniformes; Salmonidae. The record is from RNAcentral.